Molecule: ribosomal RNA, 6296 nt
Filed under: Triticum aestivum (bread wheat)
Lineage: Eukaryota; Viridiplantae; Streptophyta; Magnoliopsida; Poales; Poaceae
Description: partial small subunit ribosomal RNA
Source: RNAcentral
AUGGCUGACAGCUAAGUCAUGUUUAUCAGUAAAGAGGAGUCUAUUUCACAGUCAUACAAUAUUGUGCGACUGUGGAGCCAAGACUUGAUCAAGGACUUCCACAGUUCCACGGCCGUGCGGACCCCACCUCGAGCUUGCCAUGAGGGGCCUGUGCGUCAGUUGAAGGGAUGCUAGUGUUACCUGGUAAAGUUAGCUGUUUUUUGGUGCAUUGUUAGACUCUUCUCAUUUGCUGAAUUGCUGCCUGCCUUUUGGUUCACUAAAACUCUCCUUUCCUCUGAGACCAUCUGUUUGGUUUCUCCGCUGUGCAAGGCCUACCUUUGCUCCUGCUGUUGCUGUGCUGCCAUAGGUGUGCCGGGAGAGAUGUCGGGGUUGCUUGGCACGGUGGUUGAUGCAACAAUAGGAUGGCUGGUGCAAAGCAUCCUUGACAGCUUCUUUACUGGACGUAUGGAAGCCUGGACUCGUGAAAUCGGGCUUGCUGAAGAUGUGGAGAAGCUCAAAUUUCAGAUGAGGGACGUGCAGAUGGUUCUUGCUGCUGCCGAGGGAAGGAGGAUUGACAAUAUGCCUCUGGCGGAUGAUCUCAGAGAGCUACUUUAUGAUUCAGAGGACGUGAUGGAUGAGCUUGACUACUACCGACUUGAGCAACAGAUCACAGAAGGGAAAGGUUGUAGUGCUCCUACUGGUACUAAUCUUGAGGGAAGCUAUGUGUCUUCAUCCACUCUAUCUUCUGUUGUUAAAUCAGUAUGCAGUGCCACAAGCCAAAUAACUGACUGGAUCUCACAUGGCAGAAAAAGGAAACGUGAAGAAGAGGGGCCUGCUCAUUGUAACAUGCUGCCUUUUGAGAUUAAAGAUAGCAUUUCCAAGAGGAUCAAUGUAAUAGUGAAUCUUCUAUGCAGUAAUAGCAAUUCUGUAAAGGGGGUUCUUCAGCUUGAGAACUUGCGCACCAUGGCAACAUCAAGUAAGAGUCAGAAUAUUGCCAGGGAUCAUCGCAUGACAACUUCUGUUCCGAUUGAGUCUAAGGUGUACGGACGAGAUGCAGAGAGAGACGAGAUAAUAGAUCUGUUGAUAAAGGGGGGAUUUAGUGAUCUGAAUGUUCUGCCAGUGGUUGGCAGUGGUGGUAUUGGGAAGACGACACUUGUUAGAUAUGUAUACCAUGCUAAAAGAAUUAAAGAUCAUUUUGAUUUGCUAAUAUGGGUCUGUGUAUCCACUAACUUAGAUGUAGUGGGGCUAACACUUCAGAUCCUAGAUCAUGUAUGUGAAGAUAGACCAUAUGAAAAAAAAAGCAGUUUGAAUAAAUUGCAGGAGAUACUUCAAGAAAAUAUUAGAAACAAAAGAUUUCUGCUUGUAAUGGAUGAUAUGUGGGAAGAGAAGGACAGGGGUGGAUGGAUUAAACUCUUGGCUCCAUUGAAAAGUAAUAAAGUAAAAGGUUGCAUGGUACUAGCAACAACCAGAACAAAAUCAGUGGCAAAAAUGAUAGGAACUAUGGAUGAAAUCACAUUGACUGGUCUGGAUGAGAAGGAGUUUUGGCUGUUUUUCAAGGCAUGUGCAUUUCGCAAUGACAACCGCGAGCACCAUCCUAGUUUGCAAUCUAUUGGGAAACAAAUUGCUAAAGCACUAAAAGGCUUCCCACUAGCUGCACAAAGUGUUGGUGCACUUCUGAGCACAGAAGUUAGCUAUCAGCAUUGGACGACAGUUCGGGACAAACGGAAAUCUCUUCAAGGAUAUGAUGAUGAUAUUUUACCCAUCUUGAAGCUCAGUUAUGAUUAUCUACCAGUCUACCUUCAGCGGUGUUUCUCAUACUGCUCUUUGUAUCCAGAGGACUACGGAUUUGAUGGGAAAGAAUUGGUCCAUGCCUGGAUAUCACAAAAUUUUGUGCAGUGCAAAGAUCCUACCAUAAGACUGGAGGAAACAGGGCAUGAAUAUUUGGAAAAAUUAGUGGAUUUGGGCUUCUUCCAAAAGGAUGGCUCACACUAUGUUAUGCAUGACCUAAUGCAUGUAUUGGCAGGGAUGGUUUCAUCAAAUGAGUGUGCUACUAUAGAUGGAUUGAAAUCCGGGGCAAUUCGAGCAAGUGUUCGGCAUUUGUCGAUCAUAAUUGCUGAUUAUGAUAAAGAUGAACAUGUCAGCAAUUCUAGUGAGAAGUUUGACAAAAUACUUCAGAAGGUGUCUUGGCACAAAUUGAGGACAUUGAUGUUGUUUGGGCGAAGCAGCAUACAUUUAUCAGGGCCAUUGCGUACUUUAUGCAAUGAGGCAAAAUGUUUACGGUUGCUAAGUGUGACAGGUGCUGACAUCAGCUCUAUAUACAAUUCGUCAAAUCUAUUCCAUCUUCGCUAUAUAUCAGCAUACAGAGUCAGCAACCCUGCGUUUCGUCAAGCUUUGACAAGAUGUUAUCACCUUCAAGUACUGGAUGUGGGCAUUUCGGGCAAUCUUGAUGUACCUACUGACAUGAAUAAUCUUGUGAAUCUGCGUCAUCUUAUUGCUCAUGAGAAAGUGCACCACGCAAUAGAUUGUGUCAGCAACAUGACCUCUCUUCAGGAAUUAAAAUUCAAGGUUCAAAAUGUUGGCAGUUUUGAGAUAGGACAACUUCAGUCCAUGAAUGAGCUUGUAUCACUAGGAGUUUCUCAACUUGAAAAUGUGAAGACUAAAGAAGAGGCGUGGGCAGCCAUGCUGACACACAAAGAGUAUCUAGAAACAAUGUUCUUGUCAUGGGAGAAUAGCAGCAUGAGCCUUCAACCUGAGGCUGCAGAGGAUGUGCUUGAUGGUCUUCAACCACAUCAGAACCUCAAAACUCUAGAAAUAACUGGAUAUGGUGGUGCUAUCUCCCCAACCUGGCUUUCCAGUGCCUUUUCAGUUACCUCACUGCAGAUACUUCAUCUGGAGGAGUGUAGGGAAUGGCAAAUUCUAUCUACUCAUGGAAUGCAUUCCCUUAGGAAGCUGACAUUGAUCAGGAUGUUGGAUUUAAUGGAACUCUCAGUUCCUUCCUUGGUAGAGUUGAUCCUGAUUGGCAUGCCAAAAUUGAAAAAAUGUACCGGUUCUUAUGGAAUGGAUUUGACUUCCCAUUUAAGUGUUUUGAUGAUCAAGAACUGCCCUCAACUGAAUGAGCUCACUCUUUUCCAGAGUUACUCUUCUUUCGACGCUGAGCAGAAAUCCUGGUUUCCAUCUCUCAGCAAACUGUCCAUCGGGCAGUGUCCUCAUAUAAUCAACAACUGGCCAAUCCUUCCACUAAGAGAAAUGGGGGCACUCAAGGAGUUGGAGUUGAUGGAUCUGCAUGUUGUCAGAGUGUCAAUUCCUUCUCUGGAGAAGUUGGCGUUGACUAAAAUGCCAAUCCUGGAAUAUUGCAGCAGUCUAACGACUUCUCCACCUCUCCAAUCUUCACCUCCUGAAGGAGAUCAGAAUGAAUUGGUGUCUAAUCUCCGUAGACUCACCAUCCAUGAUUGCCCAUGUUUGAUAGUGUCACAUCCUCUUCCGCCUUCUGCUCUAAUUUCUGAGUUGUCCAUCAGUGGGGUUUCGACACUUCCAACAAUGAGGAUAAACUGGAGACGUUUCACUAUCGAAUCUAAUGAGUUGUGUAUGCUGGAUGAGAGUAUCUUGGCAUUUCAUAAUCUGAGGGGUAACAUUGUUUCAAAUAAGAAGCUGUCCAAAUCUGAUCUCUCUUUCAAGUGAAUCUUUUAGCCAGCUCAUUGCUUUAGAGACUUUAUCUAUACAUGAAUGCCCUAAUCUUACUAUGUCAAACAUUAUGCCAGAGGUUGUCCAGGAAAACAGCACAUCUACAAGCAGCCUUGUCCCCCCAUCUCUCAAACGUGUCAACAUUAGCACAUGUGGCGUAACUGGGAGGUGGCUAUCUCAACUGCUUUCACAUUCGCAGUCCCUUGAGGAGUUGCUGUUAACUGGCUGUCCGCAGAUAAAGUUUCUAUCAAUCAGUCAACCUAGAGAAAUGGAAGGGACCAGCAGUUUGGUUUCAGCAGUGACGACCUCGGCCCAAGAUGAACAUGAAUUGAAACUGCCAUAUAAUCUCCUAUGUUCUCUCAAGGCGCUAUGCAUUCAGCUAAGCCUGGAUCUGGAGUUCUGUGGGGGUUACAGAGACUUCGCAGGAUUCACCUCUCUUACGGACCUAGUCCUUUUUGGUUGCCCCAAGCUGGUCUCAUCGUUGGUGGGUGAAACAAAAGAUGAUGGUACCAUGGAAGUUGGAUUACUCCCACCAGCACUUGAAAAAGUUACUAUCAGUCCUCUCCAAGAAAGCCUGCGGUCCUUCACUCCUCAAGGCCUUCUCCACCUCAAAGAGCUAAGUCUCUUUUAUGGCCCAUGUUUGAAGUCUGUACAGCUGCAUUCCUGUACCUCCCUAGUGGAGCUAGGGAUCACGGGGUGUGUCCAGCUGGCUGUACUGGAGGGUUUGCAGUUCCUCACCUCCCUCCGAAGCUUGGAUAUUGAGAUGAGCCCGGAGCUGUCUUCUGCAUGGGAUCUCAAACUGCAGGAGCAAGAACAGGGUGGCAAUCAAAUUCAGCUGCUUCCUCCGUCCCUUGAUAAACUUGAGAUCAGGGCUCUCACGGACAGUGUCCAAUCCCAUCUUCUGUCCUGCCUUCCUGCCAUCACCAAAUUAGCGAUAGGGCGUAGUCCAGAAUUGACAUCUCUACAGCUGGGAUGCUGCACGGCACUAAAAGAGUUGGAAAUUGAAAAAUGCGACUCACUGGAGUCCAUCGAGGGCCUCCAAUUCUGUAGAAACCUGAAAUACCUGAGAGUAUUUAACUCCCCUGGCCUAGCUUCCUUUUUGGAGCUCGUGUCGCACCAGCAAGGGGCCUCUGCGACCUUGUCUGGACUGGAAACUCUUGAGGCCAGUGACGGGUCUGUCCUUUCCAGGUCUUUCUGCAAACAGCUCACAUCUCUAGGACUCCUACAGUUCGGCUCUGAGACUAGUGAAUGGAGAGGAGAGAGCUUGGUGAGCCUAACGGAGGAACAAGAGGGAGCGUUACAGCUUCUAACCUCCCUCCAAGAGCUUCAAUUUCGGAGAUGCCAGAAUCUCUUGUCACUUCCUGCAAAUCUUAAUAGCCUGACCUCCCUCGAGACAUUAUCUAUCAUACAUUGUAAGAGCAUCACAAGGCUGCCAGACAUGGGCCUCCCAACUUCUCUCAGAUCUCUCAAGUUAUUCUACUGUAGUGAGGAGCUAGCCGUGCAAUGCAGAAUUGUAGCAACAGAGAAGCUAAGGGUGAGGAUUGAUCGUCAGGAUGUGAAUUAAUCACCUGUGUCUACUUCUAAGUGGCCAGCACAUUUGUGCAAGUGCCACAUACCCAUUUGGCUUUCCACGAGCUACCUGCAUGAUGGAUGGACGCAGGAAAGCAUAAGGGCAAAGUGGUUUGUUAUUCAGUAAAACCACACAGCGGACUGCUCGAACCAACCUCAACCAGGACUACCUGAUCCUGAUGACUGCACAUUAAUUUGCUGGUCGCUCGACUCUACCAUUUCCGGUAUGGAUUGGCAGUUGGAUCAUGUCCAUGAGAAACUGAAGAAGGUACAACAAAUCAGUCAGUGACGAUCUCGUUGAAGAAGUGGAGGCCGAAGUCAGGGGAGGGGGGGCAAUAGCAGAGGCAACUCAUACCGCAUAUGGACCUGCCGGAAGCUAAAUGAGUCAGAUCACCAACGCACCGUCUUGUUUCCCUUCCUCCAUCAUCUGCUCAGCUCAUGGCCUCCUCUACUGCCUUCUUGCUUCUCAGCAGUGCAUUGGGUGACACUCAGCCCGUGCCAUCGAUGAAUCGAUGGAGGUGGAUGUCCAUGGUGGGGUCGUCACCGAAUUUGAUGUUGCUGGAGAUGUUCUCGUCGAGCUCGGCGAAGAGAGCCUUGUCACCGUUCAUGUAGUUCGAGGCACCCGUGUGGAGAAUAGUGGAGAUGCUAGGCCUUGUAGAAAGCUUUGGAUAAGAAGAUAGGAGGGCAACAAAUAUUUUCCCAGCUAAAGUGCUACCGUUUGUGGAGCGAGUCCUGAUUCAAGAUGAGAAAGUAGAAAUACAGUAGAAUGACAACACCACUCAGUAAUAGUUGAAUUUGUACUACUAUGCUAUAUGCGACCUUCUGUGUUUAGGUUCCAUCAGCAUUUCAUCCGAUUGAGCAUUGCUGGAGGGUAUUGCCAGCAAGCCCAAGUGAUCUUCUUCCCCAAAAUUGUACCUACUACCUAGCGAUAAAACUUAUGUGUAUACUUUUGUUAGAUUAUCUCCAUCCACACUUGGCCAUCAGUCUAGCCACCAAAUCUUGCUAGAAAAGAUUGUGGUUUGCAGAACAUGAUAAGAUCAAGACAAGGACAGCAACCUAACUAGUAC